GAUGAACGCUGGCGGCGUGCCUAAUACAUGCAAGUCGAGCGAACAGACGCGGAGCUUGCUCCUCUGACGUUAGCGGCGGACGGGUGAGUAACACGUGGAUAACCUACCUAUAAGACUGGGAUCACUUCGUGAAACCGGAGCUAAUACCGGCUAACAUGUUGCACCGCAUGGUUCAACAGUGAAAGACGGUCUUGCUGUCACUUAUAGAUGGAUCCGCGCCGCAUUAGCUAGUUGGUAAGGUAACGGCUUACCAAGGCAGCGAUGCGUAGCCGACCUGAGAGGGUGAUCGGCCACACGGGAAGUGAGACACGGUCCAGACUCCUACGGGAGGCAGCAGUAGGGAAUCUUCCGCAAGGGGCGAAAGCCUGACGGAGGAACGCCGCGGGAGGGAAGAAGGUGUUCGGACCGGAAAACUCUGUUAGUAGGGAAGAACAAAUGUGUAAGUAACUAUGCACGUAUUGACGGUACCGAAUCAGAAAGCCACGGCUAACUACGUG
Molecule: ribosomal RNA, 497 nt
Filed under: uncultured bacterium
Lineage: Bacteria
Description: partial 16S ribosomal RNA
Rfam family: Bacterial small subunit ribosomal RNA
Source: RNAcentral